This 3272-nucleotide long non-coding RNA is filed under the name Panax ginseng (ginseng). RNAcentral describes it as "long non-coding RNA (PGIN_LNC010859)". Lineage: Eukaryota; Viridiplantae; Streptophyta; Magnoliopsida; Apiales; Araliaceae. The record is from RNAcentral.
CUUCCAUAAGUUUGGUACGUAUUUAGACUAGACAGUAUUUAGAUUGAUUAAAAGAGUGCCCCAAUUAAAUAUUUUCUAUUCUUCAAUUGGUAUAAAGAAGCCAGCCUCAUGCUGAAGCUGAUUGGACCCUUACAGCAAGAAAAAGAUGGAUUGUACUUGCUCCAUACUUGCAUUUCAUGGAAAGUAUGACACUUCGUGGACUGGGGAGGACCACUUGCGUUUCCCUUGACUUGAGUCUCGGUUGGCUUUGCAGAUUCUCUGGUAUGAAUCUACACAUCCUUCUUGUUGUCUUAAUUCUUUUAAUAGUGGAUUAAAGCUAGCUUGUUAAUAGCUAUGCAUGCCUCUGUAUGACAUACAAAUAGUCAAAAUAGAUGAUAUGCUGUACACGAUUAUACAAGUUUGCAUGAACAUGCAUAAUUCUUACUUCACAAUAAUUUGUGUUUAGAGACUGUUUCUACAUGUUAAAGGAUUACUCGUGCAUUCUGAAAAUGCAACUUUGAACAAAUAAGAAAUCUGAUUUCCGAUGCCAUUUUAAGGAGUGUUUUUUUAGCGUCUACAACAAGCAUUUCAAGAUUACAAAAGAAGCUAUACGACAACUUUAAUUUGUUCUUUCAUCACCCUUGUCUUUUUCUUUAUGUGAUUUUAGCUAUAUACAUUUUAGUGUGAACAUUAUGAAUUUAAUUAUGUGCCUUGAAUAAAGUAUCAUCACCUAACUAAUUUCAACUUACAACUAAUGUUUUUAGAUAGAUCAAUUUGUUCUGAUAUAUCAGGAUAUAUAUUUUAUGUAGUUUUGGGAAUAUGUGGGAGGCUUUAGGUAAAGUGUACGUUAAAGAAAUUCCUUAAUAGUUUGCUGGCAUGUGGAUAGGAAUAAAUUCCAGUAAGGGGAAUAAUUUGGAAAUUAGGAUCCUCUCCAUUUCAUGUGUGCUGUAAAAUAGCUCCUGUUAUAGCCUAUAUCCCAUAUUCUUCAAUCUUAUAGCUCCUGUUAAAUUAUGGCAUUAUAGCCAAACCAUAAGUAGAGUUGCAUGUUGCUAUAAUUUUUAGUUCACGUCUUAUCUUUCCAACAACUUAAUGUUGGAAAUAUCCGAUCCAUAUAUGCUCAUCUGAAACUGCAUAUUGACCCAAAAGGUUAACCCUAUGGUCCAUUAGAGCAUAUAUAUCCUCAAUUCAAUCUUUCUCCUUGUAUUUCGAUGCGGGACUUUACUAUGCGUACCUAACACUUAAUGUAAAGUAUUAAGUAGUUAUCUUUUUAAUGCUUCCAUCAAGUCUUGACUGCAAUUCACUUUCUCUUGUAUUUGUGUGUGGGCAUUUAUUCAUUUAUAUGCUAAAAGGGGAGUAUUUAGCUUUAAGCAAAUGUUGUGUGAUUUUCAAUAGAUGGAAACAUAGGUUGUAUUGUACUUAGACUCGUGUUAAUAUUUUGUUUUCUUUUCUGAAAGGAACAACAAAUCGCAUUUUAGUAGUAUCAUUUGGAUUGGCUGGUCGGUCGGUCGGUCGGUCGGUCGAUCAUUAGUGAAAAAUACUUGCCCGUGCCAGUUGCUUAUUGGACCACAUCUGACAAGGAUUUAAAGAAGGAAAUGACCACGGAAUGAUAUUCCCUUCGGAAAGGAAACAAAAGUUGGAAAGAUUCCAAGGAAUGGGAUUUGAGAAUCUUAACUCAAAGUAAAGCCAAUGGGAAUGGGGUGGGGUGGGGUGGGGUGGGGUGGGGUUCUCAAGUCAAGAAUUUUAGUUAUUCUUUUCUACUCAAACUCACAAUACAAAUUGUUUAAUUUCUAGAUUGACAAUAGAUUAGAUUAAGAUGCCUUUCAAUAUUCAGAAUCAAGUAAACAAUCUAUAUCUAUAUACAUAUAGGAAAAAUAAAAUAAAAUUGUACUUGUAUUUGUAUUUGGUAUGAGAUUAAAAUUUAAUUGUUACUAAAAUAUUUUUUUAAACUUCCUGAUUUUAGUUUAUUAACUACUACUAAAACACUUUUUAAACAUAGAAUUUAAUUAGAAUCAAAACACUAUUUAUAAUCCUGAAAAAUUCUAGAACAACUUGUUAUUUUAUAAUAAUUUUAUUUCUUAUAGAAGUCUUUUAUUGAUAUUAAUUUUCACGAGUCUAAAUUAAAAUACAUAUGGAUCGUUAUUAAAUAUAUAAAUAGAUUAAAUAUUUAAAAUUAAUCUAUCAUAUAAUCUCCUCUUAAUUUUAUUUUAUUAACUAUUGCUAAAACACUUUUUAAACCUAAAAUUUAACUAAAAUCAAAAUACUAUUUAUGAUCCUAAAAUUUUUUAGAGUAACUUAUUAUUUUGGAGCAAUUUAAAUUAGAAUAUACUAGCUUAUAAAGAGAUUAACUUAUAAAAGGACAUAAUAAUAGUGUUUUAUGUGUGCUUAGUAUUUUAGUUUUUUUAAAAAUGCAAAGCACAUGUUUACUUUAUAAAUAAUAUUAUUUUUAAUAUUUUAUAUUUUAUAUAUGAUGUUUAUAAAAAAUGAAUUUCACAAAUUAACUUACUAUUUGGUAUUAAAAUGAUUACAAUAUUUGCUUAAAAAAAAUUAAAUAAAUACAAAUCACAUACAUUUGUCUACUAUAAUUAAUAUUAUAUUAUUUUAUGAAUAAUUUUAUUAUUUAUAAAAUUUCUUUAGCUCAUUAAUCAUAUCUUUUUGAUCAAAGUUUGUAAAUAUUGUCAUAGCAAUUGUAAGUUAGUUUGUGAAAAUUCUAAAAAUAUUUCAUAAUCAUUAAAUAUAAAAUGAAUAAAAAAUAAAAAAUUAUGCUUUUUGAAAAAUAAAUUCAUGUUUCGUACUUGGUAUUUUUGGUCUUUGGUAUGAGCUUAUAAUUUAACUACAACUAAUUAGUAGAAGUUCACAGUUCUUAGUGACUGCUCAGUAUUCAUUAUUUUGAAAUCUCGAAUUGAUUAAGCGUUGAAUCUUAUUGAUAUCUUUAUGUUCUUAUUGACUAUUGUUGAGAACCAUCGAUACUUCUUGUUAUCCUUGAACUAUCAUUUAUUAUUGUACCCUUGAGAAUUUAAAAUUAUAUUGAACACCCUUAUUGUUAUAUUAUUUGCUGAGCAAACUUGUUGCUCAUUCUUACUUCCCUAAAAACAUUUCAGUUAAGGCAGAGCAAGGCGGACCCUCGGGCACUGAUAAGAGCAAGGGCAAAGCUACGGAGUAGCUUCUUAUUUAUUUAGGAAUAUUAUGAUAAUGUAAAGACAUAAAUUGUGUUAUGUAUUAGUUAUGUCAAAGCUAUGUUUAUGUAUGUUUAAGGUAUAUAAGAGAUGUUUAAGUUACGAAACCUUGGGACGUGA